GAUGAACGCUGGCGGCGUGCUUAACACAUGCAAGUCGAACGAUGAAGCCCAGCUUGCUGGGUGGAUUAGUGGCGAACGGGUGAGUAACACGUGAGUAACCUGCCCUUAACUCUGGGAUAAGCCUGGGAAACUGGGUCUAAUACCGGAUAGGAGCGCCUACCGCAUGGUGGGUGUUGGAAAGAUUUAUCGGUUUUGGAUGGACUCGCGGCCUAUCAGCUUGUUGGUGAGGUAAUGGCUCACCAAGGCGACGACGGGUAGCCGGCCUGAGAGGGUGACCGGCCACACUGGGACUGCGACACGGCCCAGACUCCUACGGGAGGCAGCAGUGGGGAAUAUUGCACAAUGGGCGAAAGCCUGAUGCAGCGACGCCGCGUGAGGGAUGACGGCCUUCGGGUUGUAAACCUCUUUCAGUAGGGAAGAAGCGAAAGUGACGGUACCUGCAGAAGAAGCACCGGCUAACUACGUG
RNAcentral lists this ribosomal RNA (466 nucleotides) under uncultured bacterium. Its description in RNAcentral is "partial 16S ribosomal RNA". It matches the Rfam family "Bacterial small subunit ribosomal RNA", at positions 28 to 507 of the family's 1533-position model. The record is from RNAcentral.